Molecule: long non-coding RNA, 455 nt
Filed under: Pongo abelii (Sumatran orangutan)
Lineage: Eukaryota; Metazoa; Chordata; Mammalia; Primates; Hominidae
Description: lincRNA
Source: RNAcentral
AGAUUAUAUUGCUACCAUGGAAGAGGAGGAGGUGGAAGGAGAUUCUGAAGCCUUGGGACAAAGCUGGUGCUGCGGCAGUCAGAGCAGAGAGAGAGAAUGAUGCCACUGAUUGCUGUGCUUCUGGAGACUGUUCUACUUCUGAAUUUCCAAUUCAGUGAAAUAAUGCCUGUCCUCAUUUGUUAGCCUUUUAGAGCUCUUCUGCUGUCCUGUCCAUAAGGUUGUUUGUUGGUAAAAUAUUAAACUACAGGAAACAUAACAGCCUCAGAAAAGCAUGACUCAACAUGCAGCCUGGGGCAACUCAGGGUCUCUCUACUGUGCACAGCAUUUGUUCUGCUUUCAAGGCUCCCCACAGCAUCUGAAGCUUUACAUCCCUGGAGGCAACUGCCCAUAUGUUUACCUUUAUUACCAACCUGCAGUUUCCAGGCAUCUGCUAAAUUACAAUUUUGAAUGCUUAA